This 256-nucleotide ribosomal RNA is filed under the name uncultured prokaryote. RNAcentral's name for it is "partial 16S ribosomal RNA". It matches the Rfam family "Bacterial small subunit ribosomal RNA", at positions 521 to 776 of the family's 1533-position model. The record is from RNAcentral.
UAAUACGUAGGGUGCGAGCGUUAAUCGGAAUUACUGGGCGUAAAGCGUGCGCAGGCGGUUUUGUAAGCCAGAUGUGAAAUCCCCGGGCUCAACCUGGGAAUGGCAUUUGGGACUGCAAGGCUUGAGUGCGGCAGAGGAGACUGGAAUUCCUGGUGUAGCAGUGAAAUGCGUAGAUAUCAGGAGGAAUACCGAUGGCGAAGGCAGGUCUCUGGGCUGACACUGACGCUCAUGCACGAAAGCGUGGGGAGCAAACAGG